Molecule: ribosomal RNA, 492 nt
Filed under: uncultured bacterium
Lineage: Bacteria
Description: partial 16S ribosomal RNA
Rfam family: Bacterial small subunit ribosomal RNA
Source: RNAcentral
AGUGAACGCUGGCGGUAGGCCUAACACAUGCAAGUCGAACGGCAGCACAGUAAGCGCUUGCUCUUACGGGUGGCGAGUGGCGGACGGGUGAGGAAUACAUCGGAAUCUACUUUUUCGUGGGGGAUAACGUGGGGAAACUUACGCUAAUACCGCAUACUUUCUACGGCAGAAAUCAGGGGAUCUUGAGAGCUUGCCUGAUUGAAUGAGCCGGUGCCGCAUUAGCUAGUUGGGGGGGUAAGGGCCCACCAAGGCGACGAUCCGUAGCUGGUCUGAGAGGAUGAUCGGCCACACUGGAACUGAGACACGGUCCAGACUCCUACGGGAGGCAGCAGUGGGGAAUCUUGCACAAUGGGCGCAAGCCUGACCGAGCAAUGCCGCGUGAGUGAAGAAGGCCUUCGGAUUGUAAAGCUCUUUUGUUAGGGAAGAAAAGCUGUAGAUGUAUACCUGCACGUUCUGACGGUACCCAAAGAGUAAGCACCGGCUAACUUCGUG